This 482-nucleotide ribosomal RNA is filed under the name uncultured bacterium. RNAcentral describes it as "partial 16S ribosomal RNA". It matches the Rfam family "Bacterial small subunit ribosomal RNA", at positions 48 to 523 of the family's 1533-position model. The record is from RNAcentral.
UUAACACACGCAAGUCGAGCGGUAACAUGACUAGUAGCAAUACUAGUUGAUGACGAGCGGCGGACGGGUGAGUAACACGUAGGAACUUGCCCAGUAGUGGGGGACAACCAAGGGAAACUUUGGCUAAUACCGCAUAUUCUCGAGAGAGGAAAGCUGCCGCAAGGUGGCGCUAUUGGAGAGGCCUGCGUCCGAUUAGCUAGUUGGUAGGGUAAAAGCCUACCAAGGCGAGGAUCGGUAACUGGUCUGAGAGGACGACCAGUCACACUGGGACUGAGACACGGCCCAGACUCCUACGGGAGGCAGCAGUGGGGAAUCUUGGACAAUGGGGGCAACCCUGAUCCAGCGAUGCCGCGUGAGUGAAGAAGGCCUUCGGGUCGUAAAGCUCUUUAGGCUGGGAAGAAGGUUGGUAGUUUAAGAGGUAAUCAAUUUGACUGUACCAGCAGAAUAAGCACCGGCAAGCUCUGUGCCAGCCGCCGCGGUAA